This is a long non-coding RNA of Esox lucius (northern pike), 469 nucleotides long. The record is from Ensembl. NCBI's taxonomy places the organism in Eukaryota, Metazoa, Chordata, Actinopteri, Esociformes, Esocidae.
UGUACAGGGGAUAUCCAGGUGGGUGAUUAUGGGUGGAGGGGUACAGGGGAUAUCCAGGUGGGUGAUUAUGGGUGGAGGGGUACAGGGGAUAUCCAGGUGGGUGAUUAUGGGUGGAGGGGUACAGGGGAUAUCCAGGUGGGUGAUUAUGGGUGGAGGGGUACAGGGGAUAUCCAGGUGGGUGAUUAUGGGUGGAGGGGUACAGGGGAUAUCCAGGUGGGUGAUUAUGGGUGAAGCUGGGCAGGUGGAGGGGUACAGGGGAUAUCCAGGUGGGUGAUUAUGGGUGGAGGGGUACAGGGGAUAUCCAGGUGGGUGAUUAUGGGUGGAGGGGGGCACUUCUCAGUCUGAAGUGUCUGAGUGUACACUGCUCUGUGCCUUGGUGGGAGGGUGGGGGUCCGGGCCGUCCUGCCUUCCACUGUUAACCUGUAAAAGACACAAUGGGGGAGGGAGUGAGAGAGGAGACCAAGACUUC